This 253-nucleotide ribosomal RNA is filed under the name uncultured bacterium. RNAcentral describes it as "partial 16S ribosomal RNA". It matches the Rfam family "Bacterial small subunit ribosomal RNA", at positions 524 to 776 of the family's 1533-position model. The record is from RNAcentral.
GACGAGGGGUCCAAGCGUUGUUCGGAAUCAUUGGGCGUAAAGCGUGUGUAGGUGGCUCUAUAAGUCAGGAGUGAAAGCCCCAAGCUUAACUUGGGAAGUGCUUUUGAUACUGCAGAGCUUGAAUGUGGGAGAGGUUAAUAGAAUUCCAGGUGUAGUGGUGAAAUACGUAGAUAUCUGGAGGAAUACCGGAGGCGAAGGCGGUUAACUGGCCCAACAUUGACACUGAGACCCGAAAGCGUGGGGAUCAAACAGG